This 622-nucleotide long non-coding RNA is filed under the name Eucalyptus grandis. Its description in RNAcentral is "long non-coding RNA (EGRA_LNC007497)". Lineage: Eukaryota; Viridiplantae; Streptophyta; Magnoliopsida; Myrtales; Myrtaceae. The record is from RNAcentral.
CAGCACGAACUUCCGCAUGAACUUGCCGACCCGCCGCUCCAUCCGCAGGUACUUGGCGCCCUCCUUCUCCUCCUCGCGCCGCCUCUCGCCGCUGAUGACCAGCACGUUGUCGUCCUCGACCUGGACCUUGAUGUCCCCGGAGCCGAGGCCGGGCAUGUCGACGACGAAGGCGUAGGACCCCGGGAGCUCCUUGACGUCGGCCGGGGUGGCGGCCAUGGCGCGGGCGUCGCGGACGUAGGUGCGGGUGGGGGCGCUGGCGGACUUCUCGGCCUCCUCGGGGACGUCCAUCAGGUGGUGCAGGGUGGCGAAGAGCGGGGACUCGAGGCCGGUGAGGCGGAAAUCCAUCGUCGCGCGUCUGCUGCUCGGUCGGUGAAACUGGAGGAAGGAGAUUGAUUAGGGUUUCGAGAAAUCGAUUCGAAGUGGAGAGCUACUGAUCGGAGUUUGGAUCGAUGAGGAAGGAGGCGGGGAGGGGGGAGUAUUUAUAGGUUGGCGGUUUGGAGAAGUUCGAGAAGAAUCGAGGGGAUGGCGCGGGAGGUUCGAGACGGUUCCAGGUCACUACUGGGAUUCCUUCUAGAAGCCUAGAGAGUACUAGAAAAUUCUGUAGAACAUUCGGUUAUUCGGC